Long non-coding RNA from Gorilla gorilla gorilla (western lowland gorilla), 315 nucleotides. RefSeq lists it as uncharacterized. The record is from RefSeq and is a predicted model, not a curated record. The transcript has 2 exons. NCBI's taxonomy places the organism in Eukaryota, Metazoa, Chordata, Mammalia, Primates, Hominidae.
CCGGUGCUUAUCCAAGUUUAUGAUGCACUGAAAACAGGAGAAUCACUGGUAACUUGUCAGUGAUACCACUAUGAGUUCCUGUGUAAGAGGAUACCUGCCUCAGAGAGGAAGUAUCAAGGGAUGCAGCCUGCAGAAGCCUUAGUGGCUGGCUGUCCUGUGGACUGAGUCACCCAUGGGUGGAUAGGGUGAAAAGACAGGAAUUCACACUUGCUGAGCAAGCCUCUCAGCAGACACACUUUGAAACCUGACAGAACACACAAGAAUCAUCGAUGCUGGCAUCCCCUGGACCUCAAAACACUGGUUUCUCCUGCCCUA